CUCCCGCGGCAGGCGGGAGCGGGGAUGGCCGCCUGCAGUUUUGUCCCGCCCGCCGCCCCCGGGGGCCCUGCGGGACCCCUGCUGCUGCCCCGGUAGAGUCCCGGCCGGGGCUACUCCUCCCUUCACCCCCUCCACCCUCGGCUGAUCCCUUCCCUUCCUGCCGUGCUGGAGGACACGGUGCAGGAGCGUGCCAUCAGAGGAGUACAAGAUCUGGAAGAAAAGCACCCUCUUCUUGUAGGACCUCGAGAUGGCCCACGCCCUGGAGUGGCCCAGCCUCGCGGUGCAGUGGCUGCCCGAUGUGAGCAGAAUUUGGUGGCUUUGGAUCUGUGACUGGCAGAAUUGAGAUGGAGAUUAAAACUAAAAUUAACCACGAGGAUGAAGUGAACUGUGCCUAUUACAUGUUGCAGAAUCCCUGCAUCAUUGCAGCAAAAACACCCUCUGCCGAUGUGCUGGUGUUUGACUACACUAAACAUCCUUCAAAACCAGACCCAAGUGGAGAGUGUAAUCCUGACCUUAGAUUAAGAGGACGCCAGAAGGAAGGCUAUGGCUUGUCAUGGAACUCAAAUUUGAGUGGACAUCUUCUCAGUGCAUCAGAUGAUCAUGGAAAAACCACAUCUUUUCUCCUGUUUAAAAAAGCCCAACUCCUAAUUUAUGCUGUAGUAGAAAAUUGGAGAAAAUCUGUCCUAGUGCAGCUGUGUAUUGUUAUGUGGGGAAGCUCUCACAUUUUGUAAUUACAUUUCUAAAGGCUGUCACUUGGCUUUAGGCUGUAAUCAACUAUGAGUUCUUUUUAAACUUCUUGAUGUAAGAACAGAAUGUUUUUAUAGUUGUCUGCCAGAAGAAGUCCUUUAAACUGGAUUGCGUCAAGACCAUAGAUUAAUAAAACUCUCUAAGAUCAAUAACUAAUAUCUUAUAAAUUUCUUUGUGGAGUUUAAAAGUGUAAAUUGCUUUUGUGACCUUCUAAAUAAUCCUUGGGCCUUGAACUUGCAGAAAACUGAUUGAUAACUAAGCUCUCAGUUCUGGCAUAAUAAGUGUUCUUUUUCAAAAGCAAAGAACUGCUUUGGGAGUGGCAUCUCUUUAAAUGUGGAGUGCGAUUGAUUAUUUGUUUGAAAGAUGAUAACAAUCAGAGUCUGCAUUUCAUAGAAUGUGGCCUAUUUACAGACAGUGUGUUUAUGGGAUGUAAGUGCUGGACCCAAAGAGGGCAAGAUUUGUUGAUGCAAAAGCCAUCUUUACCGGGCACUCCACAGUAAUGGAAGAUGUGGCAUGACACCUGCUCCAUGAGUCUCUGUUUGGAUCCGUGGCAGAUGAUCAGAAGCUUAUGAUGUAAGUUAGGAGAUUUUUGAGUAGGGCGUGCUGUGUCCUGCUGAUGCCUUUUUUCAACCUAGAAAUGAAACAGCACACACUUUCGAGAUCGAGAUAUUACCUCCCAAUAAUAUAAUAUGGGAGGUAAUAUAAAAGUGGAUCUUUAUUGGAGGUCUGCUGGGCAGUUAUAGAAGAAUGUCCACAAAAGGCCACACCCCCAGGGGUGCGUACAGUUUUAUAAGUUUAGUAAAUUAGCAAAAUUGACAAAAAAGCACCAAUUAGGAGGACAAGUGGUGAUGCAAUUACACCCCAGUUGAAGCCCCUUCUCUGGAGUCCCCCCCCCUUGGUACUGGCUGUACUUUGUUUAUGAAAAUGUGUCUCAAUGAGGUGUUUUCAACCUUGGUAGCCAGGAAGAACCAAGGUAGGAUAAGGGCCCUUGGAAUAUGUUUUGUCUUUCUUCCUAAGGAAAGGGCAUGGAAAACUACUAGGAAAACUAGCCACUAAUAUGAUAGACUAUAAAUGUAUGUGUAAAGAAUACAGAGAAUAUAUAAAGGAAAAAAAAAAAGUAAAAACCAAAAUCACUGCCUGUGGACCUAGUCCACAGCACUUGGAAAAAACAAAAAAGUCUGAGUUUUGGAGUGAUUUCAUGUAGCUCUUUAUGGCAAUCAGCUACAGUGAUGGUGCAGAUUCACUGAAAUCUACAUGCCUUUUAAUGUUCACAUCACUUGAAAAGAAGAUGUAGCUAGUAUGUAUGUUAGAUUCCUGGUGCAAGCUGUUCAUGUAAAACAGACACUAUGUAGGUUUUGGAAUGAAAAUUGUAGCUUCAGAGUUGAGUUUAAUAACAAAAGCUGUAGUGAAAAGAAACUUCCUAUAAAAACUUAAGUUUGUUUGCUUUCCUUCUUUCCUCCCUGUCCCCAACCCUUCCCAAACCCUUCACUGCCACAGCUGGGACACAAGAUCUAAUGCCAUAUCCAAGCCGAGUCACUCAGUAGAUGCUCACACAGCUGAGGUCAUCUGUUUGUCCUUCAAUCCUUACAGCGAGUUCAUUCUGGCAACUGGCUCUGCUGACGAGGUUUUCACUUGAGUAUGCUUUACAUUCCUAAGUAGUGCAGAUGAAAGCCAUUAUAGUAAAACCAGCUUCCUGUUGCUUGUGUCUCCCAGACGGUGGCUCUGUGGGAUCUUCAAAACUUAAAGCUGAAACUCCAUUCCUUUGAGUCUCAUAAGGAUGAGAUUUUUCAGUUUAUUCAUGGAGGACACAAUUCCAAAAUUUCAAACUUCUCUGGGAAUCCUAAUGAGCCUUGGGUAAUCUGUUCUGUAUCAGAGGACAGCAUAAUGCAGAUAUGGCAGACGGCAGAAAACAUUUACAGUGAUGAAGAACCAGAUAUAACAGCAGCUGACCUGGAAGCUCAAGGAAUGUAACUUUUCUUCUUUCAGGAACUACUGGGAAUGACAUAGUAAUAUAAUUUGACUACUGUAUACGUAAAAUAAAGCCCUCAAAAAAACCCCUCCAAAACCAAAUAUGAAACAAAAACCCCACAAACACUGGUGUGAUAUAUGUCCUAAAGUUAAUUUGUGUUAAAAGAUAUAAGAUGUAAUUCACCCCCUAUAAAUAUAAGUUUUAUUUCUAAUCAAGUGUACUACAUGUUAACUGAGACGAAAGCUGCACGGAGAGGGGUACAAGGAAUUUCUUUUGCCAGAAAUUACACAGGAGGGACACAAGAAACUAUGCUAAGAAUUACAGGAAAAGGGACACGAGGAUACCUCUGCCGGGAAUCGUUAAAAGGAAAACAAAGACAACGGAAAAGGGAGAUGGAGAACCUGGAGAACCAAAUGUUUACAUCAGAUCGAUAUCUCAUCCAUCUCCUCCCGACAUUAGCACCUCUACACAGCACCUGGACACAACAAUCAAAGACAUUGUCUUCCUGGGCAAAUCCAUUCAAAGACACCAGAACCCGAACAUGAAUGUCUAAUGAGGCUGCCUCGGAAGAGGGAACCUCGGACUCCCGAGUUUCUCUCAGCGAUCCCGUGUAUAAAAAGAGACGGCUCCAAGCCAGAAAUGUGAACUUGGGGGGUGACAUACUGACUGAGUGUGUUACCGCGUUCACCCAGCGCUGAUCCCAGGCUCGACGCUGUCCUUUUAAUUGUGGCUUUCAGAGACUGUCAUUUUG
Hirundo rustica (Barn swallow) is the source of this 3467-nucleotide long non-coding RNA. RefSeq lists it as uncharacterized. Lineage: Eukaryota; Metazoa; Chordata; Aves; Passeriformes; Hirundinidae. The record is from RefSeq and is a predicted model, not a curated record. The transcript has 5 exons.